CUAAGUGACCAAGGCAAGGUUAUGGCAAGCACGGGUUUGGCUGUUAUGGCUGCCGAAAGGGGAGCUGGUCCCUUCACAGGGAGAAAUCCUGCCUAAAAGGAAUAGGCAAGAGUGAUAGAGGAGGUCAUCUGAUACCGUCUUCUGGCUUCUACAUGUGUGUACAAGUGUGUGCACCCAUAUCCUACAUGUAUGCUUAUGCACAGGGACAUGAGUACCUGAACCAAAAAAACAAUUAAUUAAAAAAAACAUUUUGGGCCUCAGUUUCUUUGCUUGUUUUAACCUGCAUGUCCCAUACAUUAAAGUACAAACUUCUUAAAACAGGAAAAUGUCAAUUUGGGAACCCUCCAAAAUGCACAUGACCUUGUAAGUGCCUCCUACCCUCCAUUUCACAACUCCAAACAGGGCCUGGGAAGGGCCUAGAAUAACUGAGCUGCUGGGGAGGGGUACUGAGGUUUGCCUUCCCUUUUCUGCUGCCCACCUGGCCUGCAGGGAGUGUUUUAGCUACCAGAGGACACGGGACAAGGUGCUUGCCCUUGGAACACCUGGCCAGGUUACUGCCAGCUUUGCCCUAAGAAGGCCUGGAAAAACACCCAUGCCUCAGAGCCUGUGAGUCAUCUGGGUGUAGACACUGUUAUGCUUCAUUCUUGCAACAUAAAGAGCUAAGGGAGUCCAGACAAAAUAGGCUGGAGUUUUAUGACACUCUUUUUUAACCUUCUAAUAUUUUUAUUUCAUGUGAAUGGGUGCUUUGCCUGCAUGUAUAUCUGUGCACCAUGAGCAUGCAGUGCCCAUAGAGGCCAGAAAAGGAUGGCAGAUUGCCUGGGACUGCAGUUACAGACGGUUGCGAGCUGUCACAUGUGUGUUGCCAAUCAAACCCAGGUCCUCUGGAAGAUCAGCCCGUGCUCGUUUAACCACUGAGCUUCUCUCCGGCCCUGUAACACUUUCUAAAGACAACUUUAGAAAGUAUUCACUUCAUGACCUGAAUCGGCUGUUUUAAAGGCUGGGUUCAAAGAAUUUCCUUCAGGCAGUGACCUGAAGAGGGACACCUGGCCCUGAUGUCACAAAAAUGCUGAUCCUGAGGAGAAAUGGUUUCUGGAAGAUCAGCUGGGAGAGUCCUGAGCCUAACACCCCAGGACAGUGGCCACACCCAGUACCAGAGUGCACCCCACCUCCCUCCUGGGCUUUACAACCUGGCAUUUAAUUUGGAAGGAGACAUUUGUUUCCGGUGGUAAAGUGGAAGUUUUGAGAAAUAGAUGCCUUCUGUCUUU
This is a non-coding RNA of Cricetulus griseus (Chinese hamster), 1265 nucleotides long. NCBI's taxonomy places the organism in Eukaryota, Metazoa, Chordata, Mammalia, Rodentia, Cricetidae. The record is from RefSeq and is a predicted model, not a curated record.